UAGUCCACGCCGUAAACGAUGAUAACUGGUUGUGCGCGAUACACAGUGCGCGACUGAGGGAAACCAUUAAGUUAUCCACCUGGGGAGUACGUUGGCAACAAUGAAACUCAAAGGAAUUGACGGGGGCCCGCACAAGCGGAGGAACAUGUGGUUUAAUUCGAUGAUACGCGAGGAACCUUACCUGGGCUUAAAUGUAGAGUGCAUGAGAUGGAAACAUUUCUUUUCUUCGGAACUCUUUACAAGGUGCUGCAUGGUUGUCGUCAGCUCGUGCCGUGAGGUGUCGGGUUAAGUCCCAUAACGAGCACAACCCCUACCGUUAGUUGCCAUCAGGUCAUGCUGGGGACUCUAGCGGGACUGCCACCGUAAGGUGAGAGGAAGGUGGGGAUGACGUCAAAUCAGCACGGGCCCUUAUGUCCAGGGGCUACACACGUGUUACAAUGGGUCGGUACAAGGGGCAGCUACCUGGUGACAGGAUGCCAAUCCCUAAAGCCCGAUCCCAGUUCGGGAUUGGGAGUCUGC
RNAcentral lists this ribosomal RNA (519 nucleotides) under uncultured bacterium. RNAcentral's name for it is "bacterial SSU rRNA". It matches the Rfam family "Bacterial small subunit ribosomal RNA", at positions 791 to 1308 of the family's 1533-position model. The record is from RNAcentral.